AGUUCGGAGUUGCAGGCUGCAACUCGCCUGCAUGAAGCUGGAAUUGCUAGUAAUCGCGGAUCAGCAAGCCGCGGUGAAUACGUUCCCGGGCCUUGUACACACCGCCCGUCACACCAUGAGAGUCGGGAACACCCGAAGUCCGUAGUCUAACCGCAAGGGGGGCGCGGCCGAAGGUGGGUCCGGUAAUUGGGGUGAAGUCGUAACAAGGUAAC
Molecule: ribosomal RNA, 212 nt
Filed under: uncultured bacterium
Lineage: Bacteria
Description: partial 16S ribosomal RNA
Rfam family: Bacterial small subunit ribosomal RNA
Source: RNAcentral